AUCCGGCUGACGAGUCUCGAAGAGGACGAAAAGUGCAUCCUGGAU
Non-coding RNA from Schistosoma mansoni, 45 nucleotides. The record is from Rfam. NCBI's taxonomy places the organism in Eukaryota, Metazoa, Platyhelminthes, Trematoda, Strigeidida, Schistosomatidae.